RNAcentral lists this non-coding RNA (87 nucleotides) under bovine gut metagenome. The record is from RNAcentral.
UUUUUAGGGGUGCCCCAACUUGGUAAGACCAAUGGCUGAGAACAAACCCUAGAACCUGAUCCGGAUAAUACCGGCGGAGGAAAAAUU